UGGUGGAGCGAUUUGUCUGGUUAAUUCCGAUAGAGACAGCAGGACGGUGGCCAUGGAAGUCGGAAUCCGCCUGCUAAAUAGACGGGCGAUCCCUUGUGGGUCGAUCCGAUUUGCUUCUUAGAGGGACAAGUGGCGUUCCUAGCCACGCGAAAUUGAGCAAUAACA
This 165-nucleotide ribosomal RNA is filed under the name uncultured eukaryote. Its description in RNAcentral is "partial 18S ribosomal RNA". The record is from RNAcentral.